AUGGGGCCCACAUGGAGGCUGCAGCACCCCGCUGGGUCGCAGGAACGCAGGGAGAUGGUGCUGCCCCAGGACAGAAGAGCCCUCAGCUGUGCUCAGAUGCCCUGGACUUGGCUGACUGGUUUGCUGAGAAGCAGCCUGAGCCUUGCUUCUGCCACACAAGAACAUGUUAGGUAUCAGGACGUGUCCCAGCACCGAUCAUCACUGCCUUCAGACAAGUUUCCAGAAGCGCGAUCAUUCGGAAGAAGAAAGGCCUGGCCUUUGGGAAGCAGACGUCAGAGGCAGUUUUCAAAGUCACUUCCCCAAAGUUGCGAGACUUCGCCUGGUGCUGGUCAAAGUUGGCCCCGGACAGAGGGAGGCAUUUCCUGUGGCUCCUUGGAAGGGAGACGGAGCUCAGUCCCUGUCCAGACAGCAGACAACUUGAGAGGGAUGAGGAGAGAGGGCUGGCUGGGGCCUGGGGCCAGGGCUUAGUGGGGAGCAAAGCUACGGUCACAGGAUGCAGGGGUCUGCCCUGGGGCUCAGCAUGCUUGGGAGCCCCUCCCUGGCUUCUUCCCUGAGGAGCCUUUCUUGUCAAGGGCAGGGGAGCUGGGGCCGGGACUCCCCACUGUGUCCAGAGUACCCUGCACAUCACCUGGACCACAGUACUCAGCACACAGUACCAUCACUGGGCUUAUUGUGGAGGGGACCUGUUCCUCUCCCUGUGUCCAUUUCCGAGCUGCGCCCCUG
RNAcentral lists this long non-coding RNA (723 nucleotides) under Fukomys damarensis (Damara mole-rat). Its description in RNAcentral is "lncRNA (ENSFDAG00000030740.1)". The record is from RNAcentral. Lineage: Eukaryota; Metazoa; Chordata; Mammalia; Rodentia; Bathyergidae.